CCUACGGGAGGCAGCAGUGGGGAAUAUUGCACAAUGGGCGAAAGCCUGAUGCAGCAACGCCGCGUGAAGGAAGAAGGGUUUCGGCUCGUAAACUUCUAUCAACAGGGACGAAAGAAAUGACGGUACCUGAAUAAGAAGACCCGGCUAACUACGUGCCAGCAGCCGCGGUAAUACGUAGGGGGCAAGCGUUAUCCGGAAUUACUGGGUGUAAAGGGUGAGUAGGCGGCAUGGUAAGCCAGAUGUGAAAGCCUUGGGCUUAACCCGAGGAUUGCAUUUGGAACUGGCGGGCUGGAGUUGGAGAGAAGUACGCGGAAUGCGCGGUGUAGCGGUGAAAUGCUUAGAUAUCGCGCAGAACCCCGAUUGCGAAGGCAGCGUACCGGCUCCACACUGACGCUGAGGCACGAAAGCGUGGGUAUCGAACAGGAUUAGAUACCCGAGUAGUC
RNAcentral lists this ribosomal RNA (443 nucleotides) under uncultured bacterium. RNAcentral describes it as "partial 16S ribosomal RNA". It matches the Rfam family "Bacterial small subunit ribosomal RNA", at positions 338 to 795 of the family's 1533-position model. The record is from RNAcentral.